GACGAACGCUGGCGGCGUGCUUAACACAUGCCAGUCGAACGGUGAAGCGCCUUCCUUUUUGGUGGGUGUGGAUGAGUGGCGAACGGGUGAGUAACACGUGAGUAACCUGCCCCCUUCUUCUGGAUAACCGCAUGAAAGUGUGGCUAAUACGGGAUAUUCUGGGUCUGUCGCAUGAUGGGUCUGGGAAAGAUAUUGUUUCGGUGGGGGAUGGGCUCGCGGCCUAUCAGCUUGUUGGUGGGGUGAUGGCCUACCAAGGCGGUGACGGGUAGCCGGCCUGAGAGGGUGGACGGUCACACUGGGACUGAGACACGGCCCAGACUCCUACGGGAGGCAGCAGUGGGGAAUAUUGCACAAUGGGCGCAAGCCUGAUGCAGCGACGCCGCGUGAGGGAUGGAGGCCUGCGGGUUGCGAACCUCUUUCGCCAGUGAAGCAGGCCUGCCUCGUUUGUGGGUGGGUUGACGGUAGCUGGAUAAGAAGCGCCGGCUAACUACGUG
RNAcentral lists this ribosomal RNA (494 nucleotides) under uncultured bacterium. RNAcentral's name for it is "partial 16S ribosomal RNA". It matches the Rfam family "Bacterial small subunit ribosomal RNA", at positions 28 to 507 of the family's 1533-position model. The record is from RNAcentral.